This is a long non-coding RNA of Cyprinus carpio (common carp), 1540 nucleotides long. Lineage: Eukaryota; Metazoa; Chordata; Actinopteri; Cypriniformes; Cyprinidae. The record is from Ensembl.
UGCUAUUAAUGCUAAGCACAUUAGCAUUAUUGUGCUAACAAUCUAAUAAUGGAUUCUUUAAAUUGAAGUAUAAAUAAAAUAAACUUUAAAAAGUGAAUUUAAAUACUUUAAGCACUGCCCUGGAUGUUAAAUUAUGCAUCAUUUACUGUUAUUACUAUAACGAGCACAUGUAACAUCUAUCAAGGAUGUGACUGCUUACAAUUCUACAAAUCUUGAAAUGCGUUGCUCAAUGCUCAGCGUACAUUUUGCUGCACUUUCAGAUGACUCUUCUAUAAGAGGUGCUAUAAGUGAUGUAUAUUUUUUGUUUCGUGAAAAUGGUUUAAAAAAAAAUAGUAUUGUGCAAAGAACCAUGCAAAAAUAACCUUUAUUUAUUGAUAAUCUGCCCCUCUAAUCCUAAUUUUUGUGGAAAGGAACAAAACAUGGUGAAAUGUAUGUGCAUGUACAUUUGUGCAGUUUUGCAGAAAUGUAGUCUGUGUUACGUAUUUCCAAUGAGCCUGAGUAUGUAAAAUAAAAUGAUCAAAUCUUUUGCAACAUUAUAAAUGUCUGUUUUUGUUUUUGAGCAAUUUAAUUUUGCUGAAAAAGUAUUAAUUUCUUUCCUUAAAAACAACAGCAGCAAUAAAAGUAUCACACACACACACACACACACACACACACACACACACACACACACACACACACACACACACUCUCUCUCUCUCUCUCUCUCUCUCUCUCUCUCUUUCUCUCUCUAUAUAUAUUAAUGUCUAUCUUUUAAUAUUAUCACAAUGAUUCAAGUGGUAUGUAUGUUUAAAGUGUAUUGUAUUUGUUUACAGAUGCUGAUUUUAUGCCUGCAUCUUUGCUGUGCACUACAAAAUGGAAAGUGCAACUUUACAGUGGCAAUGGUGCAUACUGCUGGAAAAGUCACUUGCUUCAAGAUGAUGGAUGGACAUGUCCCAAUUUGCAUGUCUGGUGGUCAAACAUCUCAAUCAUGUGACAUUGCGUACAAAGAUGGGAUGACGUGUAUAAAGUGGCCAGCAGACAUCGAACUCACAUGUGUGAACGAUUCUGAUGAGAUGCAUAAGCUCAAUAUUGAAGAAAACAAGUGUGCCCAUGACCAAGAAUCUAUUAGUUGCAAUGGAGAGUACAAAUCUGGUAAGUUUAUUUAAUCAAAGUUUUUUUGAUUAAUUUAAGCUCAUGUUUUUUAAACAAACAAAUUGCAUGACUGCACCCUGAAGUCAAUUAAUUGUUUUUUCCCCCAGAGCUUAGAAAUUCUGCAUCAACCCUGUCAUUGAGUAAGAAUGCAAAACAAUUAUAUGCUACAAGUUUGCAUCCAUCAUAAAAGAAUUCCACAUGUUCAUAUAUUGUAUGUAAACUAUUGAUCCUUUUGUUUUUUGCAGGCAUUCUUCUAAUUACUACCAUUGUCCACUGGGUGUCACUAUGGCACUACUAAUAUAGUAAUAUAGUGUAUAGUUCUGAGACACAUUACUCAAACUUAAAAAUAAUAAUAACAAUAAUAAUGUGUUCGAAUAAACCAUUUUUAUAUAUAUAUAAAAAAACUAUG